Molecule: ribosomal RNA, 253 nt
Filed under: uncultured bacterium
Lineage: Bacteria
Description: partial 16S ribosomal RNA
Rfam family: Bacterial small subunit ribosomal RNA
Source: RNAcentral
GACGAACCGAGCGAACGUUGUUCGGAAUCACUGGGCUUAAAGGGCGCGUAGGCGGGUGCUCAAGUCCGGGGUGAAAUCCCACGGCUCAACCGUGGAACUGCCUCGGAUACUGGCGGCCUCGAGGGAGGUAGGGGCGUGCGGAACUGUGGGUGGAGCGGUGAAAUGCGUUGAUAUCCACAGGAACUCCGGUGGCGAAAGCGGCGCGCUGGACCUCUUCUGACGCUGAGGCGCGAAAGCUAGGGGAGCAAACGGG